CAUUUGCUUCGUUAGGUGAGGCUCCUGUACGGAAACAGGUCGCUACCCGGAAACAUCGAAAGAUGCCAAUGGGUUAACAGGUAUUACCGGAUUAAGGUUCUACCUAAUGCGGCUGGGAAAUCCCCCUUACGCCGUGCAGUGCUAAAGCUCAACGAGUGGAGAGAACA
This 167-nucleotide small RNA is filed under the name Clostridiales bacterium PH28_bin88. RNAcentral's name for it is "M-box riboswitch aptamer (ykoK leader)". It matches the Rfam family "M-box riboswitch aptamer (ykoK leader)". Rfam says of the family: M-box riboswitch, also know as ykoK leader is described as a metaloregulatory RNA that sense divalent metals and function as a genetic control element of genes related to divalent metal transport in bacteria. It was first reported upstream of the B.subtilis ykoK gene and genes with related functions in other bacteria. The record is from Rfam by way of RNAcentral. RNAcentral also lists the same sequence under 1 other name. Lineage: Bacteria; Bacillati; Bacillota; Clostridia; Eubacteriales.